ACCGAGGGACAUAAAACAGUGUUGGAGAUCGGUGUGAGCGACGUGGCUCAGUGGUCAUAACGUCGCUCCGCCACCACAGGAUCAAAACUGUAGGGAAAUGGUGAGGGCAAGCAUAGGGCUUCUCAAAGAUGCAGGGAAUGGGGUCUCCAAGACUCUCUCGGAGAUACUGGUCUGCCCACUCUCCAAGCUACCCUUGAGAUAUUGUGAGGAAACGAAUUCUCUAAUCAGUGAAGCCAUUGGCGUUUCUUUUCCUAUAAAGGAUGGGAUUCCUUGCUUGGUCCCAAAGGAUGGCAAGAUAAUUGAAGCUGAUGACAUGCCGAAAACCGAUGAUGCGGCUGAUUCGUCUUCGAAACAUGAUUAAUAAUGAGGAGGUAGUGGGAGUUGGCCUCCCCUCCCCAAUAGAACUGCCUUUGUCAGGCUUAGCAUGGAGUUGCGCUGCCGAUUCUUUUACAGGAAGCUAAGAAGUGAGGCCUCCAAUUCCAAGACUGAUUAAGAGGGAGAAUACAACCAUUAUUUAUGUUCCUUCCUUUGUUGUUUACUGUUCACUGUGAGACCAAAAAAAUAAUUAUUAUUUUGCUUAGUGGUCGUGUUCUAUCAACAUAUUUCUUUCCGCGCCAGGGGCAUCCAAUGUUAUGACUAUUCACAGUCCAGAAACAUUUCUUGGUUUGCGUUUUAUUUUGUUGUAUCGAACGAUAUAACUAGUGCCGCUUCAUUUAAAAUUUUAAAUGUCAUUUCAACA
Corylus avellana is the source of this 739-nucleotide RNA transcript. It is a transcript of the gene named Trm112p-like protein, with no coding region annotated. Lineage: Eukaryota; Viridiplantae; Streptophyta; Magnoliopsida; Fagales; Betulaceae. The record is from RefSeq and is a predicted model, not a curated record.